GAAAUACUGGUUUGCAUAUGAUCACCAAAGUUAAGCAACAUCAAGCCAGGUCAGUAACUAGAUGGGUGACCACUUGAGAAUGUCAGGUGCUGUAAG
This is a non-coding RNA of Acanthosepion pharaonis, 96 nucleotides long. NCBI's taxonomy places the organism in Eukaryota, Metazoa, Mollusca, Cephalopoda, Sepiida, Sepiidae. The record is from the annotation of a GenBank genome assembly.